RNAcentral lists this small RNA (27 nucleotides) under Mus musculus (house mouse). RNAcentral describes it as "oocyte_piRNA3519". The record is from RNAcentral. Lineage: Eukaryota; Metazoa; Chordata; Mammalia; Rodentia; Muridae.
UUAGUCAAUUCAAUCAAGACAUGAGUC